UGCCAGGGCCCAUGGAAUGGGGACUUACGAACCCCGCCAGGGCAGGAAUGCAGCAACGGCAGUUUGCUCUCCAUCCGCCGUGGUCACCCUGGCUUUU
This 97-nucleotide signal recognition particle RNA is filed under the name Verrucomicrobiales bacterium. Its description in RNAcentral is "signal recognition particle sRNA small type". It matches the Rfam family "Bacterial small signal recognition particle RNA". Rfam says of the family: The signal recognition particle (SRP) is a universally conserved ribonucleoprotein involved in the co-translational targeting of proteins to membranes. The record is from RNAcentral. Lineage: Bacteria; Pseudomonadati; Verrucomicrobiota; Verrucomicrobiia; Verrucomicrobiales.